UGGGGAAUAUUGGACAAUGGGCGAAAGCCUGAUCCAGCCAUGCCGCGUGUGUGAAGAAGGUCUUCGGAUUGUAAAGCACUUUAAGUUGGGAGGAAGGGCAGUAAGCGAAUACCUUGCUGUUUUGACGUUACCGACAGAAUAAGCACCGGCUAACUCUGUGCCAGCAGCCGCGGUAAUACAGAGGGUGCAAGCGUUAAUCGGAAUUACUGGGCGGAAAGCGCGCGUAGGUGGUUCGUUAAGUUGAAUGUGAAAGCCCCGGGCUCAACCUGGGAACUGCAUCCAAAACUGGCGAGCUAGAGUAGGGCAGAGGGUGGUGGAAUUUCCUGUGUAGCGGUGAAAUGCGUAGAUAUAGGAAGGAACACCAGUGGCGAAGGCGACCACCUGGGCUCAUACUGACACUGAGGUGCGAAAGCGUGGGGAGCAAACAGG
This 429-nucleotide ribosomal RNA is filed under the name Pseudomonadota bacterium. RNAcentral's name for it is "Proteobacteria bacterium partial 16S ribosomal RNA". It matches the Rfam family "Bacterial small subunit ribosomal RNA", at positions 355 to 776 of the family's 1533-position model. Lineage: Bacteria; Pseudomonadati; Pseudomonadota. The record is from RNAcentral.